CCUACGGGGGUAGCAGUGGGGAAGAGUGCACAAGGGGGGAAACCCGGAGGCAGUGACGGCGCGUGAGGGAAGAAGUAAUUAGUUAUGUAAAGCUCUAACAGCAGGGAAGAAAAUGACGGUACCUGAGUAAGAAGCACCGGCUAACGACGUGACAGCAGCCGCGGUAAUACGUAGGGGGCAAGCGUUAUCCGGAUUUACAGGGUGUAAAGGGAGCGUAGAAGGCAGUGCAAGUCUGGAGUGAAAGGCGGGGGCUCAACCCCCGGACUGCUCUGGAAACUGUACGGCUGGAGUGCAGGAGAGGUAAGUGGAAGUCCUAGUGUAGCGGUGAAAUGCGUAGAUAUUAGGAGGAACACCAGUGGCGAAGGCGGCUUACUGGACUGUAACUGACGUUGAGGCUCGAAAGCGUGGGGAGCAAACAGGAUUAGAUACCCGAGUAGUC
This 439-nucleotide ribosomal RNA is filed under the name uncultured bacterium. RNAcentral describes it as "partial 16S ribosomal RNA". It matches the Rfam family "Bacterial small subunit ribosomal RNA", at positions 338 to 795 of the family's 1533-position model. The record is from RNAcentral.